CUUCUUCCAGCCGGGCAUGGUGUCGCUCCCUGCGCUCGCUGUCGGGCUCGCUCUUUCUCGCUGGCUCUCUUUCUCCGGGGCUCUCCGCGCCUCCUCGCUCGUCCUCUAGGGCAGCCGCGCCGGGGCUGUUCAGCGGGGCUGGGGCGCCGAGGCGGCUCCCGGGCACAUUGAAGCGGCGCCGCGCGCCCCGCGCUCCCCUCAAACUCGCCGGCGGCUCCGGGCGGCGGCGGCGGCGGCGGCGGCCGGGCCGGGCCGGGCCGGGCCCCGCCGGGCAAGGCUGGGGGCUGCAGCGGCGGCUGCCGCGGUGUGGCCGGGAGGCCGGGCCGGGCCGGGGGCGGGGAGCUGGUGCAGGCCGAGAGCGGGGGGCUGCGGAGCCCCCGGGAGUGGGCGCCGGCGAGAGGAGUGGGCUGGCGCCGCCGCCUCUUUCCCCUCCUCCUCCUCCUUCUUCCUCUUCCUUGUCUCUCCGCCGCCAGCAGGUGGGACUCGGAGCCGCCGCCGCACAAAGCUCCGCCGGCGGCAGGACUGAGGCUGCGGGCUCCCCGGGCGCCUCUCGGCGGAGCCUCCCCCGAGACGCGCGCGAGGCUGAGCGGGCACGGAGGGGGCGCGCGCGCUCACACCCUCCGCGCCCCGGGCGGCCUGCGAGGCGCGCCCGGCCUGCCAGGUACCGAGCCUGGCACCGAGCUGCUGGUGCGGAGCCCACGCCGCUCCACCGCGGCCGCCACUCCCUCUCCGCCUCCCUCCCCGAGCCCAAACUGGCGGCUCCUCCGGCUUAGGCGACGACCUCGGUGGACAACCGUGAGGCAGAUCAGCUUCCAAGAAAGAAUGCCAACCUGCUUUCUGUAGGUGAAGAAGUCCCAGGGCUUGACUCAGAAGGUCCUCUAGCACCGCACUUUGCAGUCAGUCCUGUGGAAGAUGCAAAAAGACCUAUCCUAUGGAAAUGCCUAUAAAUGAUUAACAGGUAGACAAAGGAAUUAACUCAAAAUUGUAAGAAAGAGUAGAUUAGAUGAGCACCAAGAAAUGUGACUGUCUACAGCCACCUUGAAAUCUAACAGGAAACAGGCCAAAUGGCAAAUUAGACUGUUUAAUGGUUGUGUGUGAAAGUGCCUCCUCCUCAUAAAGGAACUGUAACAGAUCCACUCUUGUGCAAAGAGAAUGUUAUAAACAAGAUAAUGAAGCUUCGAGAUAGCUUCCCUAAAUUCACUAAGUCAUUAAGUAAAUUUUACAUUAUAAUCUAAGUGAAAAAAAUAAACAAACCAGAAAAAUCAAAAACAAACCAAAAAUAGACCAGAAAAGCCUGAACAGGUCCUAAAUGAAAUGCCAUGAAGGUCUCCUCUCAGAAUCACUGUGGAUUCUCUCAUGCUCCGGAUGAAGCAGAUUGUAUCAAGCAACAACAUCACUGAACUUUUAUUGAAAGUGCAAUCCAUAUUCUACAAAUGAAACUUAGAGUUUCCUAUCUGUCUGCAAUUUAGUUCUAUUUUUAACUCAUUUCACAGCUCAAUUAAUAUUCCAGUGUUUUAUUCUUCUUCACAUAUUCAGAGCAGCCUGAAAUAAACUUUACUUUGAAGCUACUUCCAGCCUUUGCAAAUCCUUACCCUUCUCAGAACCUUCUUUUCCAUCACUGCUAUUUGUUCUUUCUCCCUGGAGACUUCCUUGUUGUCACUUCAAGAUACAGACCUUGCCACCUGCUUUCCACCAUUCCAAACUGCACCUGUCCCAAUUGUAAUCUCUGCUUUCUAAGUGCAAGUUAAGUAAUCCAAUACAUUAAUGUGUGCUAA
Molecule: long non-coding RNA, 1775 nt
Filed under: Homo sapiens (human)
Lineage: Eukaryota; Metazoa; Chordata; Mammalia; Primates; Hominidae
Description: HSALNT0190761
Source: RNAcentral